GACGACCGCUGGCGGCGUGCCUAAUACAUGCAAGUAGAACGCUGAAGGAGGAGCUUGCUUCUCUGGAUGAGUUGCGAACGGGUGAGUAACGCGUAGGUAACCUGCCUGGUAGCGGGGGAUAACUAUUGGAAACGAUAGCUAAUACCGCAUAAUAGUAGAUGUUGCAUGACAUUUGCCUAAAAGGUGCAAUUGCAUCACUACCAGAUGGACCUGCGUUGUAUUAGCUAGUUGGUGGGGUAACGGCUCACCAAGGCGACGAUACAUAGCCGACCUGAGAGGGUGAUCGGCCACACUGGGACUGAGACACGGCCCAGACUCCUACGGGAGGCAGCAGUAGGGAAUCUUCGGCAAUGGACGGAAGUCUGACCGAGCAACGCCGCGUGAGUGAAGAAGGUUUUCGGAUCGUAAAGCUCUGUUGUAAGAGAAGAACGAGUGUGAGAGUGGAAAGUUCACACUGUGACGGUAUCUUACCAGAAAGGGACGGCUAACUACGUG
This 495-nucleotide ribosomal RNA is filed under the name uncultured bacterium. Its description in RNAcentral is "partial 16S ribosomal RNA". It matches the Rfam family "Bacterial small subunit ribosomal RNA", at positions 28 to 507 of the family's 1533-position model. The record is from RNAcentral.